UAGUAUAAUUAAAAAUUAAUACAGUACAAUAUAGUACUAAAUAUUGUACAAUAUUGUUAUAAUACAAUGCUAAUACAAUACACAAAUAUUAAAAUAAUGCAAUACAACAUCAUAUAAUACAGUGAGUCAAACGCACCCUGAAAGUAAGAAAUUUUACUAAUUAACUCAACUACACACGUUAAUGAGAACAAACAACAUGAUGUUAGUUACGUGAUUAUUUAUUUUAAAUAUAUCAAUAUAAUCUCAUAAGAAUGUCUUGUUUUAAUAUAAAUAGUUGUUAGAUUAUUACAUUUUUUUAAUUUUUUCUCUUUUUAAAAUUAAUUUAACACAAUAAGUUUUUUGUACAAAUUAGAAGACAAAAUUAGAGAAUUAAUGGCCUUUACACCGGAAAUAUAUAGAUCGUCACCUUUUUCUAAUUCAUGUUUUAAUUGCAUAAAGAAUUAUCUUGUUUCGUGUGAUAUAUAUAGUUUGUCUGUUUUUGAGAAGUAAGUUUAUAAUUUUAGAAGUAGUUGUUUUAAUUUGCAGCUCAGGAAAUUUGCUACCUAAUGGAGGUCGAUUUCCUGUUUUCCAAAAAUUAUUUCAUCCACUAAACAAGUCCUUAAUCAAAUAAUGUAAUUUCUUUUGGGAGAUUGACACAAUUUCCCUUCUAAUGAAAUUAAUAUAUAUCACUUAUUUUCUAUUUUUUCCAUAAUAUCUAAUCACACAGCUGCUACCAUAAUUUUACAGUAGUCUUUUGUUUUUAAAUACAUUUUUAUUUAUAUUGAUUAAAAAUAAAAUAAAUUAUAUGAAUUAAAAUUAAAAAGUUCAAAUCCUAAAAAUAAGAAAUAUAGGUUGUUGUGUUAAUAACAAAUUACUGAUAAGAUUUUUUUAUAUUUUUAAUUUUUUAUAAUAACUAUUAUCUUAUAUUCCUAAAAUAAAAUACCAAAUAAAUGAACUAUUUACACUUCUUUUCUCUUAAGUUUUUAUAACAAAGGAGUUUCUGAAUAUUACAAAAAUGAUAGAGGAUAAAUAAUAUAUAUUAAUUUUAAUAAGAGAAAACUAGCAAUCCUUCCCGUUACUUUUUCUAGUAAUUUGCAAACGUGAUUACAUUAUGGCCAAUGCAUUUUCUUGGGCAGCAAGCAGCCAGGCAGUGUGCGAUGACUGGCGACUCCAGAGUCGUUACGGUGAAGUCAGCCGGAGGCGAUCGCAAAACCUUUUUCAAUCGUGUGAUUUGAAUAAUACGUCAUGUUCAAUGCUCGCCCACGUACGGAAACAGACGUCAUCUGAACAGUGUGAGUGAUUCUGUGUCAACGAUCGCACAUGCACCCGAUUAAUCAGAAAUUUUGGUUGGUGACAUCGGGUUUGCGUGGGCCAUGUUGUCCCCUAUUUGACGUGAGCUCUGACUGCAACUCUACUGUCUUUCUGUAGCUCAUGAAAUUUUGGGCCGUGUCCAAAACAUUAAUAAAAGUCAAGAGUCUGAAAUAUCUAAUUUGUGAAAAAAUGCAUGUGCGUGAGGAGACUUUUUCUUUGAUUGAAAAGUUCCGAUUUCAAUUUGAUUAGUCAAAGAAUUUAUUUUUAUUCUGGGCAUAUACCUAUGAUGAUUUUGUAAUUAGGUUUUAUAACUUAAAAUGCAUCUAUGAAAAUUUUUGAGUAUACAAUCUGUCAUAAUUUUAUUUUUAGACUUAAUAAUUUAAAAUUCGUUCACUAAUUAGAAAAUAUCAGGACUUAUACACUAAUUCAAAUACUUUUUCACUAGCAUCAUAAAAUAUUAUAUUAUUUCACUUUAUCUUGCGUCAUAAUAAGGAUCAAAAGAUAUAUAACGCAAUAAAAUUACACAUCAACUUCAAUAUUAAUUGUAACAACUUAAGUCCGACAACAACUGAGUGGAUAUUUAAUCAUUAGACUUUACUUGAUGUGUACUAAUCUUUUUAAGAUUUGUUUCAUUGGUUACGUGGAAUGCACGUUAGUAUGAUUUGGAAAUCUUGUUAAGCCAGGGAAGUGUGUGGGUGAAAGAAUGCGAAUAACGCGUACCAGUCAUCACAUAUUUAAUUUCAGGAUCCCUCUAAAUUACAUGCAUGUAUCUUACAAUCCUCUCACAUGAAUAGUGAGUGAACCCACAUCAUUCACUAUUCAUGUGAGAGGGGUGUAAGGUACAUACAUGUAACUUAGCAUUAGCCUUAAUUUCAUAUGAAAACUAGUAAAAAUCACUCGACAAAGAAUUGAACACGGAAAGUGAAGCCCGGGGGAGCAAAGUUGUGAAGCCAGUGUCUAAGAAGUUGUCUGAAUAGAAGAAUAGGAGAGUGUUAUAUGACGUGGAUCAUUACUGAAUAGAUAAGAAUUGCCGACAUGUAAUGAAUUAUCUGGCCUGAAUUAAACCAACAAGACACCUGCUACUUUUUACUUUUUAAUUUCAUGCAAGUUGGCAAAUGGGAUCAUUUUGCUUUUGAAACUGCUUUGACUUCUUGUCAAGUAUUCGAUUAGCUGCGGCUACGAGUAACAACAUCACCAAAAGACUCUUUAAAUAAA
RNAcentral lists this long non-coding RNA (2505 nucleotides) under Citrus x clementina. Its description in RNAcentral is "Citrus clementina (C. clementina) long non-coding RNA (CCLE_LNC002558)". The record is from RNAcentral. Lineage: Eukaryota; Viridiplantae; Streptophyta; Magnoliopsida; Sapindales; Rutaceae.